RNAcentral lists this ribosomal RNA (373 nucleotides) under uncultured organism. RNAcentral describes it as "bacterial SSU rRNA". It matches the Rfam family "Bacterial small subunit ribosomal RNA", at positions 525 to 896 of the family's 1533-position model. The record is from RNAcentral.
CGAGAGGGGGCGAGCGUUGUUCGGAAUUACUGGGCGUAAAGGGCGCGUAGGCGGCCUGCUAAGUCGAACGUGAAAUCCCCGGGCUCAACCCGGGAACUGCGUCCGAUACUGGUGGGCUUGAAUCCGGGAGAGGGAUGUGGAAUUCCAGGUGUAGCGGUGAAAUGCGUAGAUAUCUGGAGGAACACCGGUGGCGAAGGCGGCAUCCUGGACCGGCAUUGACGCUGAGGCGCGAAAGCUAGGGGAGCAAACGGGAUUAGAUACCCCGGUAGUCCUAGCCCUAAACGAUGAAUGCUUGGUGUGGCGGGUAUCGAUCCCUGCCGUGCCGAAGCUAACGCAUUAAGCAUUCCGCCUGGGGAGUACGGUCGCAAGGCUG